This 157-nucleotide ribosomal RNA is filed under the name uncultured archaeon. RNAcentral's name for it is "partial 16S ribosomal RNA". It matches the Rfam family "Archaeal small subunit ribosomal RNA", at positions 319 to 477 of the family's 1478-position model. The record is from RNAcentral. RNAcentral also lists the same sequence under 1 other name.
UCCCUACGGGGUGCACCAGGCGCGAAAACUUUACAAUGCUGGCAACAGCGAUAAGGGAACCUCGAGUGCCAGGUUACAAAUCUGGCUGUCGAGAUGCCUAAAAAGCAUUUCAUAGCAAGGGCCGGGCAAGACCGGUGCCAGCCGCCGCGGUAAUACA